Molecule: ribosomal RNA, 223 nt
Filed under: uncultured bacterium
Lineage: Bacteria
Description: partial 16S ribosomal RNA
Rfam family: Bacterial small subunit ribosomal RNA
Source: RNAcentral
UACGUAGAAGACUAGUGUUAUUCAUCUUUAAUAGGUUUAAAGGGUACCUAGACGGUAUAAUUAGUCUUUAACAGGAAACGGUUAUACUAGAGUUAUAUAUGAGGAGGUGAGUAUUUAUGGAGUAGAGUUGAAAUUCUUUGAUACCAUGAAGACUGGUAAAGGCGAAAGCAACCUUUUAUCUAAUAACUGACGUUGAGGGACGAAGGCUCGGGUCGCGAACAGG